Molecule: RNA transcript, 3415 nt
Organism: Camponotus floridanus (Florida carpenter ant)
Lineage: Eukaryota; Metazoa; Arthropoda; Insecta; Hymenoptera; Formicidae
Gene: kn
Gene name: transcription factor collier
Exons: 14
Source: RefSeq, a predicted model, not a curated record
CGUAACGGGAAACAACGUGCGACUGGGGACCUCGAAGGACCUCUCCGCUGGUCACGAGACACGCUUGAGACGUUUCGGCGACGACGAUAAUACGUGCCAGGGUGUCGCCGACGAGUGCUCAGAUUACUACCGCUGCAUACGUUUACGUCCCGACGUAUGCCACCUCAUCGGGUAUAAGGAUCAUCGAACAAUUUCGAAGGAAUCAUCACAAAGACGAUUCAAGAGAGCGUUCAAAAGACAACACAUGACGUCCGUCGUAAGGCCUGCGAACAUGCGGUACAUCGUAUAGAAAGUGAUACAAGAUCAGUGAUAGAGACCCGUGACAUUUUGCGAGGACCAACGCGAACCGAUAGGGAGAAAAAAGGACACGAUUCCGCGCGAGCGAAUGAGAACUGUCAUCUAGUGAGAACAGUGCAUUGUGAGACGCAACCCCUUUAGUGCGCGCUCCUCUCGCGAACUCGUGGCACGCACGUUUCGGACGCAUGUGCAUCGACACGCGGUCGGUGCGCCCGGUUUGACGGUGCAACCCGGAACGACGCGACACCGUCAGUGGUGAGCGGACAUUCAUGCACCGCCACGGGCUACCGGCCGCUGGCGUCCAAGUGAUAACGAUUCAUGCACGCAUCUAAAGAAACGUGGCACCGAACGUAUUCGCUCUGACGGAGAGACAACCAGUGGAGUCUCUCGCGGAAGCGCGAAGGGGUGGUGAGCGAGGGGGCGACGAAGGUUUCUGCAAAGAGUGGCAACGCGAAGGAGGAAGCCUGUUGCCCCAAGAGAAUCCUUACGGCCUCACCACGCGGUCCGACGAGUGGAGCAGUCUCCUGCCCAGCUCCACUAUCGUGGGUGCUGGGGGGUCGGCAUGGCUCGGACUCGGCGCCGGGGGUGGUACGGGGGCCACCACGGGAGGCGGAAGUCCCGUCGAGCUCGAGGGUCACUGGGGACGUAAGCUGUACGGCGCGAGUGUGGCCCCGCCGCCCCCGCCGCCUCAUCAUCAUCCCCGGGCGCCGUUGGUUUUCGCGCCUCAAGAUAUGAGGCAGAUAUUGAAGGAGGAACCUGUACCACGUGCUUGGCCGCAGCCCGCGCUCGCCGACAACGGAACGGUUGGCGUGGGCCGGGCGCAUUUCGAAAAACAACCGCCGAGUAAUCUGAGGAAAAGCAAUUUUUUCCAUUUCGUAAUCGCUCUUUACGAUCGACAUGGCCAACCGAUCGAGAUCGAGAGGACGUCGUUCAUGGGUUUCGUCGAGAAAGAUCAGGAGUCUGAAGGUCCAAAAACGAACAACGGCAUCCAGUACAGUCUACAUCUACUCUACUCCAAUGGUGUCAGGCAGGUGCAGGAUAUUUACGUCAGGCUUAUAGACUCCGCGACUAAACAAGCAAUCAUGUACGAGGGACAGGAUAAGAAUCCGGAAAUGUGCCGUGUUCUUUUGACGCAUGAAGUUAUGUGCAGUCGAUGCUGCGAUAAGAAAAGCUGCGGCAACAGGAACGAAACGCCCAGCGAUCCUGUCAUCAUCGACCGAUUCUUCCUCAAGUUCUUUCUCAAGUGUAACCAAAACUGCCUCAAGAACGCUGGCAAUCCACGCGACAUGAGACGUUUUCAGGUGGUCAUUUCUACACAAGUGGGAGUAGAGGGUCCAUUACUAGCGGUCUCCGACAACAUGUUUGUUCACAAUAACAGCAAGCAUGGACGCAGAGCGAAGCGUUUGGAUCCCAGUGAUCCUGGCGAAUAUAAUAGUUUAUAUCCGCCAAUACCUCUUCAAACGCCGUGCAUAAAAGCGAUAUCGCCUAACGAAGGGUGGACGUCGGGUGGGUCUACCGUCAUAAUCAUCGGCGAAAACUUCUUCGAUGGAUUGCAAGUAGUUUUCGGGUCGAUGCUAGUCUGGAGCGAGUUUAUCACCGCACAUGCGAUCAAAGUGCAGGCCCCGGCACGGCAGAUACCCGGCGUCGUUGACGUCACGUUACAUUACAAAAGCAAGCAAUUUUGUAAAGGGGCACCCGGUAGAUUCGUUUAUGUUUCCAUGUUUGCCGAUUUCUUUCCAGCGGUAAACGAACCUACGAUCGACUACGGCUUCCAAAGGUUACAGAAACUCGUUCCGCGGCAUCCGGGUGACCCCGAGAAACUUCCCAAGGAGAUAGUACUAAAACGGGCGGCGGAUCUAGCAGAAGCCAUUUAUAGUAUGCCCAAGGGCGGAAAUAUGGGGAUCACGGGGGCACCCAGAAGUCCCGGUUCGGUACAUGCUCCCGCGCCUCCUACAUCCAGUUCAGCAACGGUCUUCAACUCGUAUACAGGGCAGCUCGCGGUGACGGUGCAGGAGAACGGUAGCGCGGCGAAAUGGACAGACGACGGUAGUUCCGUGACGACAGGAGCUGCUGCCGAUGGAGGAGGUGGUGGCGGCGGCGGCGCCGGCAGCGGUGGCAGCGUCGGAGCCAAUGUCGGUAGUAGUACCGACGCCUACAGACAAAGCAGCAGUGCCAGUCCACGUGGUGUCGUAACUGGCGGUGGUUAUUGCGGUAGUUCAGCCAGCACACCACACAGUCACAGUACCAAUGGAAGUUAUUCUGUCGCCAAUCCGUACACCGGCAGCCCGACUCUCUACCCAUCGCCGCACGAACAAUACAGCCUAUUCUAUACCGGGGACGGGAGUGCGUUCGCCCCCGUAGUACGACCACCGACCACCUCAGUCCCACCGCACUGGUCCACACCGCACCACCUCGCCACAGCCGCCCAGUAACCGCUAACCGUCCACCAUCACCACCAACACCACCAUCAUCACAACCAUCACCUUAUGCACUGCGAUUAAAGAAUUUUGAGAGACGACAUUUGAGAAUUGGGUAUGUUGCAGGACUAGGAGAAGUGGUUGGAUCACCUUUCAACAUGAACCCGUUUAUGUUGCCCACAUGCAACCAGGGAUAUUCAACCGCUGCCAGUCCAUUGCUUUCGUCAAACGGCAAAUAGUGUUACGAGAUGUAAGCUCCGACGAAAAUGUCAUGAACACCAAUCUUCGCGGAGACAUUGCAUACGAGCUAAUGAAUUAAUACGUGCCAUCGCGUCUAGAUAAUUAUUCAGAUAAUUGUAAACUAUCUGCGUAAUUUUUUCGUAUUGACGCUCGUACAUUGCCUUCGCGAAUUGUAAUCAUAUACUUAUGUGCGACUUUAUUCUCUUUUAUACUUUUUUUGUGAUAAAAAGAGAAGGAUAGUCGCAUAUGCGUUUCCAUCAUCAUUUUCGUCGGAGUUGAGAUCAACGAGUUCGUAAGAAAUUGUGAAAAUCAGUGCAAAAAUCUGUAACAACUAUCUUGCAUCGAUCACUAAUGAUCGCACUAAUUAAGAAACAAUACAUAUCGAACAACGAGAAGGUGUCUUUUUAAACAUAAUAGCUCGAUCAUACGAUGGCUCCAAUAAUUCUUAAAAAAGAAUAUUU